UACGUAGGGAGCAAGCGUUGUCCGGAAUCAUUGGGCGUAAAGCGCGCGUAGGCGGCCUCGUAAGUCCGUUGUGAAAGUCAAAGGCUCAACCUUUGAAAGCCGAUGGAUACUGUGAGGCUAGAGUCCGGAAGAGGCGAGUGGAAUUCCUGGUGUAGCGGUGGAGUGCGCAGAUAUCAGGAGGAACACCAAUAGCGAAGGCAGCUCGCUGGGACGGUACUGACGCUAAGGCGCGAAAGCGUGGGGAGCGAACAGG
This 253-nucleotide ribosomal RNA is filed under the name uncultured bacterium. Its description in RNAcentral is "partial 16S ribosomal RNA". It matches the Rfam family "Bacterial small subunit ribosomal RNA", at positions 524 to 776 of the family's 1533-position model. The record is from RNAcentral.